UACAGAGGGGGCAAGCGUUGUCCGGAAUUACUGGGCGUACAGCGCGCGCAGGCGGUUGCCGACGUGCCGUGUGACAAGCGGGGGCUCAACCCCCGAGGGCCACGGUAAACGGGGCGACUGGAGGUAGGGAGAGGGAUGUGGAAUGCCCGGUGGAGCGGUGAAAUGCGUAGAUAUCGGGAGGAACACCAGUGGCGAAGGCGACUUUCUGGCCUGUUCUUGACGCUGAGGCGCGAAAGCUAGGGGAGCAAACGGG
Molecule: ribosomal RNA, 253 nt
Filed under: uncultured bacterium
Lineage: Bacteria
Description: partial 16S ribosomal RNA
Rfam family: Bacterial small subunit ribosomal RNA
Source: RNAcentral